AAUUAUACUAAAUCGACAGUCAA
Molecule: small nuclear RNA, 23 nt
Filed under: Arabidopsis thaliana (thale cress)
Lineage: Eukaryota; Viridiplantae; Streptophyta; Magnoliopsida; Brassicales; Brassicaceae
Description: snRNA_17389
Source: RNAcentral